This 17-nucleotide microRNA is filed under the name Vespertilionid gammaherpesvirus 1. Its description in RNAcentral is "BGHV3 miRNA". Lineage: Duplodnaviria; Heunggongvirae; Peploviricota; Herviviricetes; Herpesvirales; Orthoherpesviridae. The record is from RNAcentral.
CAUAGAUAGAAAGUGUG